AAGCCACGAGGCAGAGCGAACCCCAAAAAGACCGUCCCAGUUCGGAUCGCAGGCUGCAACCCGCCUGCGUGAAGUCGGAAUCGCUAGUAAUCGCGGAUCAGCAUGCCGCGGUGAAUACGUUCCCGGGCCUUGUACACACCGCCCGUCACACCAUGAGAGUCGGGAACACCCGAAGUCCGUAGCCUAACCGCAAGGAGGGCGCGGCCGAAGGUGGGUUCGAUAAUUGGGGUGAAGUCGUAACAAGGUAAC
RNAcentral lists this ribosomal RNA (249 nucleotides) under uncultured bacterium. RNAcentral describes it as "partial 16S ribosomal RNA". It matches the Rfam family "Bacterial small subunit ribosomal RNA", at positions 1252 to 1500 of the family's 1533-position model. The record is from RNAcentral.